Long non-coding RNA from Phasianus colchicus (ring-necked pheasant), 1587 nucleotides. The record is from Ensembl. NCBI's taxonomy places the organism in Eukaryota, Metazoa, Chordata, Aves, Galliformes, Phasianidae.
GGAACACGUUCAGAUGUUUUCAGAGGCUCUUGCAGAAGCCUCCCUUGGCGGCUAGCCAGAAACGUUCAUCAGCUAAAGAUAACUGCCGUUGGAAACCUGCCUCGGUGCCAGUAAGGCCUGGCAUGUACCUGGCAUGUCAGGCAAACAGAGUGCGCUUCCUUCCUGAGGUACUGAGUCACACCAUGGAUCUGUCUUUAGAAAUGGCUCAGGAAUGCCUCUGCCAGGCUGGAGCAGUUAAGCAGCUGGUGGACUUCAAACUCGGAUUUUACCUGGGUGUCUCAGCCUCUUCAAUCUCCUCGGGCUUUGUUGCUGGCCAAUGCCUGCUGUACUUGGGGAGAACUAUCUCCAACCAAUGGACUCCAUCCUCUACCCAAAAGAAUAAGUCCUUCCUUCAGUCAACAGCUGAAGCAAAGUCAUCCCCUCUGAUCCCGAUGCCAUCAAGUAUGCUUUGGGGGUGGUCUCUUCACGACACCCCCUUACCUGUAUGCAGCAAUACAUGUAUGCUGAUAUGCUGCGAUGUAUUUACCAACAACAUAUUUACCAGAAGGAGCCACGGCCUACAAGGAAGGAGAACCAACGCAGCAUGAAAGAGUGGAGGAGAGUUUUGAUUUACUAAUUGCAAAACUGCAUUGUAUUCAACCAUAAGGAGUAAACAGAACUUGGCACCCAGCACAUAUAAGACAGUAUGAAAGAACUCCACACUCUCCUACAUAGAUAUUAUUAAAUGUCAGUAGAUCAGUCAUGUAAUCUUCUUAAUUCUGUACAUUAGAAAUGAGGCCCUAAUUGCAAGUGCUCUAAACUAUAGCAGGGUAAAGGUAUGCCUGCUCUGGGCUGACACUUCCCUUUAGUUUAUACAGUGAAUGAUGACUAGACAAAAAGCUAUACCAAAGAGCUCAGUGGAACCUGCCAAAGCAUCAGUAUAUGUUUUAUAGAAAGAAAAUGUACAAAAUGAGUAAGAUUUAUGCAUACUGAAAACAUAUUUGCCAAAUUCUGUGGAACUGGGAAAUAUUAAUUGAUAGUGCAUUUUUUUUAAAGCAGAAUAUUAAUUGCAAUUAUUCAGAGUCCAGUUCUGCUUUCCUUGUGCUGUGACUAAUCUAACGAAGAUGAAUAGGCUACUUGUGGAAUAAGAAACUACUCAGCAUGACUAACGGUGGUGGAAUUGAGCCCUCCACAAAUAUUAUGAACCAGUUCUGAAAUGGUGCUCAUUUUGUGUCCUACUGAAAGACAGAUGAUUUUGUCCCAUCUUUAGGUUUCCAACAUGCCCAGAAAGGAGUCCUUCCAAAUGAUACUAACUAAAAAGAUUGUCAUGAGUAGUGCAGAAUAUAUACUUACAGCUGCAAAAUAGCUGCUUCAUGUAUGAGGAGUGAAAUCACAGUUCCAAACUUUAAAUCUCAAGAAGGCAGGAUCUCUGCUGGAGUGUUAUGCUGGUUGAAGUUUAACCUUCAGUGUCAAAAUGAUGCACUGGGCAUUUGGGAGUCAGCUGCAGGCAGGUAGUAUGAAAGCACAGCUCAGGACCAUCCCCUGCAUUUCUCUGUUCUGCAGCCAUCUGUUGUACAGAGCUGAUGCUCUCAGUGGCGUUCAUUACGA